This is a long non-coding RNA of Poecilia latipinna (sailfin molly), 162 nucleotides long. RefSeq lists it as uncharacterized. The record is from RefSeq and is a predicted model, not a curated record. The transcript has 2 exons. Lineage: Eukaryota; Metazoa; Chordata; Actinopteri; Cyprinodontiformes; Poeciliidae.
CUCUUGUGACAAUUUAAAUCUUUCAUUACAGAGAAACUUUUCCCGCAUGUUUCACAUGAAAAAGGUCUUUCACCAGUAUGAAUUCUCUUGUGGACAUUUAAGUGACUAAUUGCACGGAAACUCUUUCCACAUAUUUGGCAUGAAAAAGGCUUCUCACCUGUA